GACGAACGCUGGCGGCGUGCUUAACACAUGCAAGUCGAACGGUGAAGCGCCUUCCUUUUUGGUGGGUGUGGAUGAGUGGCGAACGGGUGAGUAACACGUGAGUAACCUGCCCCCUUCUUCUGGAUAACCGCAUGAAAGUGUGGCUAAUACGGGAUAUUCUGGGUCUGUCGCAUGAUGGGUCUGGGAAAGAUAUUGUUUCGGUGGGGGAUGGGCUCGCGGCCUAUCAGCUUGUUGGUGGGGUGAUGGCCUACCAGGGCGGUGACGGGUAGCCGGCCUGAGAGGGUGGACGGUCACACUGGGACUGAGACACGGCCCAGACUCCUACGGGAGGCAGCAGUGGGGAAUAUUGCACAAUGGGCGCAAGCCUGAUGCAGCGACGCCGCGUGAGGGAUGGAGGCCUUCGGGUUGUGAACCUCUUUCGCCAGUGAAGCAGGCCUGCCUCGUUUGUGGGUGGGUUGACGGUAGCUGGAUAAGAAGCGCCGGCUAACUACGUG
RNAcentral lists this ribosomal RNA (494 nucleotides) under uncultured bacterium. RNAcentral's name for it is "partial 16S ribosomal RNA". It matches the Rfam family "Bacterial small subunit ribosomal RNA", at positions 28 to 507 of the family's 1533-position model. The record is from RNAcentral.